GAUGAAGAACGUAGUGAAAUGCGAUAAGUAAUGUGAAUUGCAGAAUUCAGUGAAUCAUCGAAUCUUUGAACGCACAUUGCGCCCGCCAGUAUUCUGGCGGGCAUGCCUGUUCGAGCGUCAUUUCAACCAUCAAGCCCCCGGCUUGUGUUGGGGACCUGCGGCUGCCGCAGGCCCUGAAAAGCAGUGGCGGGCUCGCUGUCACACCGAGCGUAGUAGCAUACAUCUCGCUCUGGGCGUGCUGCGGGUUCCGGCCGUUAAACCACCUUCAUAACCCAAGGUUGACCUCGGAUCAGGUAGGAAGACCCGCUGAACUUAAGCAUAUCAAUAAGCGGAGA
RNAcentral lists this unclassified non-coding RNA (335 nucleotides) under soil metagenome. RNAcentral describes it as "partial contains 5.8S ribosomal RNA, internal transcribed spacer 2, and large subunit ribosomal RNA". The stretch from base 1 to 120 matches the Rfam family "5.8S ribosomal RNA", at positions 35 to 154 of the family's 154-position model. The record is from RNAcentral.